AUCGUCUGUAAUUCGCUGUGGCUGUUUUAGUGUUUAACGUUCUACAGUUGUUGUUCAACAGUAAUUGCCACCAGCCAAUACGCGAACAACAGUAGAUAAUUUGUUGUCCGAUAAUAAUUCUUUUGAAGAAAACAAAGAAGUAUUAUUUGGUUCAAAUUCAUCACAAGUACAAAGCACAUCAAAUUCACAGGAUAUACAAACCAUUUUAGAGAGUGUUAGACCUCAUUCAGAUAUUCAAAAAGAAACAAAAUCUGCAUCAAAAAUAAAUGUAUUUGAUAAAUUCAUCAAUUCUGAAUCUUCUGAAGCUUCUGUUAGCGAUAAUUUACUAGAUUCAGAAAAGAAGCUGCGUACUCCAACUUUGAUACGACAAGUAAUAACUCCAGCUGGUUCUGGUGAUAAUAGAGAUGAUGAUGGAUAUAUAGCUUUUCAAAAAUCCAUAAAUAGAAAUAUUAUUGUUAUGUAACACAAUUUGAAAAAUAUCCAAGAAAUUAUUGACAAUUUAUUUGCAGUACAACAACAAAUAUUGGAUAAAUUGAAUAUCCAAUCAGAAACAUUACAUUUUGAUAAUACUGAUGAUGAUAUGUUGCGUAUUAAUAAUUAUGCUGAUUUAGAUAUUAUGGAAGAUAAACUUGCUAAGGAACAAACAUU
Sipha flava (yellow sugarcane aphid) is the source of this 648-nucleotide long non-coding RNA. RefSeq lists it as uncharacterized. The transcript has 3 exons. The record is from RefSeq and is a predicted model, not a curated record. Lineage: Eukaryota; Metazoa; Arthropoda; Insecta; Hemiptera; Aphididae.